GACAUAGGUGGCGAACGUUAUCCGGAAUUAUUGGGCGUAAAGGAUGCGUAGAUGGCAGAGUAAGUUACUGGUUGAUGUCAAACUCAAUUUGACGGAAGCUGGUAAUACUGUUUUGCUAGAGGACAGGAGAGGUUGAUGGAAUUCUGUGUGGAGCGGUGAAAUGCGUUGAUCUACAGAGGAACACCAAAAAAGGCGAAGGCAGUCAACUAUCCUGUUCCUGACAUUGAGGCAUGAAAGCGUGGGGAGCAAACCGG
Molecule: ribosomal RNA, 254 nt
Filed under: uncultured bacterium
Lineage: Bacteria
Description: partial 16S ribosomal RNA
Rfam family: Bacterial small subunit ribosomal RNA
Source: RNAcentral